This 886-nucleotide long non-coding RNA is filed under the name Setaria italica (foxtail millet). RNAcentral's name for it is "long non-coding RNA (SITA_LNC000232)". The record is from RNAcentral. Lineage: Eukaryota; Viridiplantae; Streptophyta; Magnoliopsida; Poales; Poaceae.
ACCUCCGCUGCCGCCCUUCCUACUUGCUUAAUUUUCUUCCACCACCGAAUAGUAUAUGAUUAACCUGUCACCACAGCCUGCCGAUUAUUAUGUUUCCCUCCAUACUGGGGAAGUGGGGAUCAGUCUCUGCUUUCCUUUUCUUUCCGUGGAUUUUUAAUGUCUCGCUGCAGACGAAAUAUAAUACUAGUUGGUCCAGCCAUUUUAAGUUUGGCGAUAUCCUGGUUAGCUAUGGGUAAGUCGUGGCACUGUCACCGUCCUAGUUUCCUAUCAUUUCCGCUCACCUCAGUCCACCUCCAAUUUUGGGUUGGCCUGCUUGACCGCGGUACUGAUUGGCCAGUUGCGUGCCUCUAGAGCUAAUUUAUAUGGCUCAAGUAAAUCCAAGUGAUGGUAACAAAAAUACAGAGCUGUAUUCUUUUUACUCGAUAUAAUAGCUUUGCAUAUUUAUCUGCUUCUCUACUACUAGGCGGGGAGGACGUUUCUGCCUUUUCUUUUACCUUCUACUAAAAGGAUAGUAUACUGGUACCUUUUCAGGUUAUAUUUGACAUUAGGCGUAUUUUUAUUCCAAUUUUGGGUUGGCCUGCUUGACCACGGUACUGAUUAGCCAGUUGCGCUUGCCUCUGGAGCUAGUUUAUAUGGAUCAAGUAGACCCAAGUGAUGGAAACAAAACUACAGAGCUGUAUUAUUUUACUUGAUAUAAUAGCUUUGCAUAUUUAUCUGCUUCUCUACUACUAGGCGGGGAGGACAUUUAUGCCUUUUUUACCUUCUACUAAAAGGAUAGUAUCCUGAUAUCCUUUUCAAGUUAUUCGACAUAAGGCACAUUUUUACUCACUUUUUGACUUGUUUAAUUGAUGACUUAUGUGGACGUUCUGCCAACCUUGUACACUUG